AAGUCAAGCACCCAAGCUGCAUGAGGCCACCGCACCAUAAAGUUUCUUAAAGAAUAAUAACUUUAGGGAACAAGACCCUUCAGUAAUGAAGCCCUCAAGCCUGUGAUCUCUGUCUUAGUCCAUUUGUGAUGCUAUACCAAAACACCUGAGACUGGGUCAUUUAUAAAUAAUAAAAAUUUUCACAGUUCUGGAGGCUGGCAAGUCCAAGAGCAAGACUUGAUGUCUGACGAGGGCCUGGUUUCUGUUGCCAGAUGGUGCCUUGAACACUGUGUCCUCAUAUGGCAGACGGGCAAAGGGCUGAAUGCUCUCUGAAGCCUGGCUUCUAAGGGCAGGAUGGUAGAGCCUUAUGAUUCAAUCACCUCCUCAAGGCCCCACCUCUUAAUACGGUUGCACUGGGGAUUAAGUUUCAACAUGAAUUGUGGAGGGAACACAAACGUUUAAGCCACAGUAAUCCCAAAGGGGAAUCAUCUUACCCCACUGGGGAGAGCUGUCAUGCAACUUUUCAGAUUUGACUUUCAGAAGCACAGUCUUUGACCAGAGCUGGUGGAAUGGACAGAACUGCCAGUCUUCAAACAGAACAAGGAUCGUGGUGGGUGCCCAAGCUCCUCCUGAGCACCCCUUCCCAGCAUCCCAGGUCCCACCUUUCCCCCACAGCAUUCGGUGUGGGCCCAAUGAGGAAUGGAUCCCCUGGGUCACAGUGUAGGACUGUGCCUUCCCCGGAAAGCCCGGUGUCCUAGAGCCCAGGAAAGUGUUCUAGGGUGCGGCACAGUCAGAAAAACAGAGAGGAGUUGAUGAUAGCCAGAGGGUUUCACCCCAGGAGGCACAGCCUACACCAACCUCAGAACUGCACAGAGGUUCUUUAAUAAGUAGCCAGUCCUGGCAUUGUCCACUCAAAAUGUUCCACCUGAACUUACAGUGAACCCAGACUCCUUAUUUGCCCUAUGGGUCCUUCCCCAUCUGACCUUCACCUGCUCCUCUUCAUCCUCCCCUCCCAGCUCACUCCUCCCACUCAUGUCCAGCCAGGCUGUUCUUUCUUCCCUACUAUUGUAGGUUUGCCCAGCCAGUCCCAGCCUCAGGGCCUGUGCACUUGCCCUUUCCUGGCCUAAAAUGUACACCACUCCCGAACCCCCAGUCACAUGUGACUGAGUCCCUCUGAUCUUUCUGCUACUGCCCAGAUUUCAUCUGCACAAGAGGUCUUUCCUGCUCACCUGAACAUUCACUCUUCCCCAUAGACACUCACUUUCCCUAAUUCUAUUCCUAGCACCUGUCACUAUUGGAAUUUUUCAUUUCUUUUUUGUUUAUUGUCUGUCUUCCCUACUUAGGAUCUACAUUCCAUGAGGGUAGGUGUGAUGGUUAAUACUGAGUGUCCACUUGAUUCGAUUGAAGGAUGUAAAGUAUUGAUCCUGGGUGUGUCUGUGAGGGUGUUGCCAAAGGAGAUUAGCAUUUGGGUCAGUGGGCUGGGACAGGCAGACCCACCCUUAAUCUGGGUGGGCACCAUCUAAUCAGCUCCUAGAAUACAAAGCAGGCAGAAAAACAUGAAAAGACUAGACUGGCUUAGCCUCCCAGCCUGCAUCUUUCUCCUGUGCUGGAUGCUUCCUGCCCUGGAACAUCGGACUCCAAGUUCUUCAGCUUUGGGACUCAGACUGGCUUCCUUGCUCCUCAGCUUACAGAUGGCCUAUUGUGGGACUUUGUGAUCGUGGUCUCAUUCUGUCAUCCAAGUUGUUGUGCAGUGACGUGAUCUCGGCUCAUUU
Molecule: long non-coding RNA, 1751 nt
Filed under: Homo sapiens (human)
Lineage: Eukaryota; Metazoa; Chordata; Mammalia; Primates; Hominidae
Description: HSALNT0169755
Source: RNAcentral